UACGGGGGGGGCGAGCGUUGUUCGGAAUUACUGGGCGUAAAGGGUUUGUAGGUGGCCUGCUAAGUCAGACGUGAAAUCCCUCAGCUUAACUGGGGAACUGCGUCUGAUACUGGCGGGCUUGAGGACAGGAGAGGAACGCGGAAUUCCAGGUGUAGCGGUGAAAUGCGUAGAUAUCUGGAGGAACACCGGUGGCGAAGGCGGCGUUCUGGACUGUUUCUGACACUGAAAAACGAAAGCCAGGGGAGCAAACGGGAUUAGAUACCCCGGUAGUCCUGGCCCUAAACGAUGAAUGCUUGGUGUGAUGGGUAUCGAUCCCUGUCGUGCCGUAGUUAACGCGUUAAGCAUUCCGCCUGGGGAGUACGGUCGCAAGGCUGAA
Molecule: ribosomal RNA, 376 nt
Filed under: uncultured bacterium
Lineage: Bacteria
Description: bacterial SSU rRNA
Rfam family: Bacterial small subunit ribosomal RNA
Source: RNAcentral